GCUAGUGUGGCUCAGAUAAGAGUACUUGCCUAGUAAGCAUGAGGCCCUGAGUUAAAUCUUCGGUACUGCCA
RNAcentral lists this transfer RNA (71 nucleotides) under Dipodomys ordii (Ord's kangaroo rat). It matches the Rfam family "tRNA". From Rfam's summary of the family: Transfer RNA (tRNA) molecules are approximately 80 nucleotides in length. Their secondary structure includes four short double-helical elements and three loops (D, anti-codon, and T loops). The record is from Rfam by way of RNAcentral. Lineage: Eukaryota; Metazoa; Chordata; Mammalia; Rodentia; Heteromyidae.